RNAcentral lists this ribosomal RNA (446 nucleotides) under uncultured bacterium. RNAcentral describes it as "partial 16S ribosomal RNA". It matches the Rfam family "Bacterial small subunit ribosomal RNA", at positions 330 to 792 of the family's 1533-position model. The record is from RNAcentral.
CCCAGACUCCUACGGGAGGCAGCAGUGGGGGGUAUUGCACAAUGGGGGGAACCCUGAUGCAGCGACGCCGCGUGGGUGAAGGAGCGUUUCGGCGCGUAAAGCCCUAUCGGCAGGGAAGAAGGAGGACGGUACCUGACUAAGAAGCCCCGGCUAACUACGUGCCAGCAGCCGCGGUAAUACGUAGGGGGCAAGCGUUAUCCGGAUUUACUGGGUGUAAAGGGGGCGCAGACGGCAGCGCAAGCCAGGAGUGAAAGCCCGGGGCCCAACCCCGGGACUGCUCUUGGAACUGCGCGGCUGGAGUGCAGGAGGGGCAGGCGGAAUUCCUGGUGUAGCGGUGAAAUGCGUAGAUAUCAGGAGGAACACCGAUGGCGAAGGCGGCCUGCUGGACUGCGACUGACGUUGAGGCCCGAAAGCGUGGGGAGCAAACAGGAUUAGAUACCCGUGUA